UAGGGAAUAUUAGAAAUGGACGAAAGUCUGAUCUAGCAACACCGCGUGCGCGAAGAAGGCCUUCGGGUCGUAAAGCACUUUUUGGAAGGAAUAGGAAGGAAUGUACUUCCAGAAUAAGUCUCGGCUAACUACGUGCCAGCAGCCGCGGUAACACGUAGGAGGCAAACGUUAUCCGGAUUUACUGGGCGUAAAGCGCGUGUAGGCGGGCUAUUAAGUCAGGUGUUAAAGCCCGGGGCUCAACCCCGGCCCGCACCUGAAACUGGUAGUCUUGAGUCUGGUAGGGGAAAGUGGAAUUCCCAGUGUAGCGGUGAAAUGCGCAGAUAUUGGGAAGAACACCAGUGGCGAAGGCGGCUUUCUAGGCCACGACUGACGCUGAGGCGCGAAAGCGUGGGGAGCAAACA
This 401-nucleotide ribosomal RNA is filed under the name uncultured prokaryote. Its description in RNAcentral is "bacterial SSU rRNA". It matches the Rfam family "Bacterial small subunit ribosomal RNA", at positions 355 to 774 of the family's 1533-position model. The record is from RNAcentral.